CAGGCCUAACACAUGCAAGUCGAGCGAAGGGAGUACUACGGUACGAACUUAGCGGCGGACGGGUGAGUAACGCGUGGACAAUCUACCCUGUAGACUGGGGUAACACCUCGAAAGGGGUGCUAAUACCGGAUAAUGUCGAGAAGCGGCAUCGCUUUUCGAAGAAAGGAGGGAAUCCGCUAUAGGAGGAGUCCGCGUCCCAUUAGCUAGUUGGUGAGGGUAACGGCCCACCAAGGCGACGAUGGGUAGCCGGCCUGAGAGGGUGAACGGCCACACUGGAACUGAGACACGGUCCAGACUCCUACGGGAGGCAGCAGUGGGGAAUAUUGUGCAAUGGGGGAAACCCUGACACAGCGACGCCGCGUGAGUGAAGAAGGCCUUCGGGUCGUAAAGCUCAAUAGUAUGGGAAGAAAGAAAUGACGGUACCAUACGAAAGCCCCGGCUAACUACGUGCCAGCAGCCGCGGUAAU
This 467-nucleotide ribosomal RNA is filed under the name uncultured bacterium. Its description in RNAcentral is "bacterial SSU rRNA". It matches the Rfam family "Bacterial small subunit ribosomal RNA", at positions 43 to 524 of the family's 1533-position model. The record is from RNAcentral.